UAAUCAAGUAAACAUACCUCACUUGAAGCAAAGCUCAAAUUUCAACAAGUUAGAGUUAUUUUCAUCAAAAAUGGACAUCAAAAACAAAACCAAGAUGUCCAAAUUAGCGAAGGAGGAAACUAUCAACUUAGCUUACUAGGAUGCUGAUGUGGCUGUGACUAAUGACGUGGCAGAUGAUGUGGACAUGACUAAUGACGUGACAGAUGAUGUGGCUGUUGUGGUUGAAUAAUGUAGCACUAAUGUGGAUUAUUGAUAUGCCAAAGAGAAUAGUGCAAAUCUAUUGCUUGUAGGCUCCUAGUGAGCUGUGUGAGCUUGCCUUAAUGUAGAAAGGGAUCACUGACCCAAACGUCGGGUUAUGGUUGCUGGGGGCGUCAAACAACUGUACCGAUGGUGGAAAAAUGGCAAACUGCUGACGGCAAGGCUCAAGGAGGGUUCAGAUGCCAGAAUCGUGAAGGAUCUAAUAGGUCGUGACUGGGGUCAUUUUUUAUUGCUACGGAUCUAGAGCUCCAACUAAAGUCUGGCGACCAGAAGGGUACCUCUCGACUCACCACGGGCCAGUGAGUCUUCAGGCGAUGGUGGCAUGGUUGUUGGAUGGCCGGAUGGUGGGGGUUUAUGAAAGGCAAGGAUAGCACAAAUAACUAUUUCUCGCGAGUUUGGGGUUUUUCUUUUUGAAGUGGCUUUUUUUAAAAAAAUAAAAAAUAAAAACAG
Molecule: unclassified non-coding RNA, 708 nt
Filed under: Hevea brasiliensis (rubber tree)
Lineage: Eukaryota; Viridiplantae; Streptophyta; Magnoliopsida; Malpighiales; Euphorbiaceae
Source: RNAcentral